RNAcentral lists this long non-coding RNA (2031 nucleotides) under Nicotiana tabacum (common tobacco). RNAcentral's name for it is "long non-coding RNA (NTAB_LNC009750)". Lineage: Eukaryota; Viridiplantae; Streptophyta; Magnoliopsida; Solanales; Solanaceae. The record is from RNAcentral.
UCGGAUCUCCGAAUAGACUGAAGGCAGCAACCCCAAAGCUAAGGUCUGAAAGCUGCUGCACCAGGAUCUGCACACAGUGCAGAGUAUAGUAUCAGCACAACCAACCCCAUGUGCUGGUAAGUGCCCAGCCUAACCUCGACGAAGUAGUGACGAGGCUAGGACCAGACUACCAAAUAAACCUGUGCAGUUAAAUCAUAUAUAACGAAAAAUAAAAUCAGGAAUGAACAGUUAAGGAUAGGAGUAUCAAACCUCCUUUUUCCUACUCCCGGAAGGGAUUAUAGGGGAAUUUUUCCAAUUAAAGUAAAAAUCGAAACGAGAUUAUUUAUUUAUUUAAAAAUCGAAACGAGAUUAUUUAUUAGCGUUUCCACUAGAGAUAAUUUAUGGUGUCUCAAGUCACUAGUUUAGUAUCCUGAAUCGAGGAAAUUUGACUCUUAUUUAUGGUCUGCGAACAUAGAAAUCUGGGUAAGGAAUUCUGUUAACCCGGGAGAAGGUGUUAGGCAUUCCCGAGUUCCGUGGUUCUAGGACGGUCUCUCAAAUAUUAUUAUUGGGUCAAUUAUCUGAUUUAAUUACACAUUUAAAAUCUACUUGCCCUUCUUAACCUUUUAGCCGCUUUUAAUAUUUCAGGAAAAUUCAAAGUUAUUUAAAAUACACUGUAAGCCACGCUACAUGAAAUGCACGCGCGGUUCACGACACGUUCUAUUAACCUUGUUGGAAAUUAGAAUCGGGUCACAUGAAAUGUACACCCGGAUUUUAGAAAUUAAGCACCACAACUACGUCACGGGAACCGUACCCAUAGCUAUGAAAAUUUAAUAUAGCAUGCCUAAAGCAAGCUACGAAUAUGAGAGUUGUUUAUUCACUUCAAUUUGAGAUUUUUUGUGAAACUCAUCGCUCAUUAACCAAAUAUUACAGAAUGGACUAAAAUAGAUGUUGAAACUAUUGUAUAAAACAGAGCAGGAGAUCGACGCCUAAACCAAACAGAAUUAGGCCAAUUUUCCAAACUUCCGGGCUAAAUUAACUGAUUCAAUUACUUGUAUUGGAUCAUUAUAUUAACAUGCUACUAUAAAAAUUAACAACAUAAGCAUAUUAACAACAAAAUUAACAACACAAACAUAUUAAUAACAAAAAUUAACAACAUAAGCAUAUUAACAACAAAAAUCAAAAUACAUGGCAUGACUAUUAAAAAUAAACUUACAAGAGAAAUCAAACAAAUAACUCAAAUAUUCAAGACAACAAUUCUGGAAAUAGGAAGAGGAAUGAAGUUUAAAGUGUGACUUCUAAUGAACAUGACCUUGACUAUUUUGGACAUAGACAGUGCACAUAACCAUGACCGGAGAACACUCGUCGGCGACUUCAACAGGAAAUUCGAACUUCAGUCAAGCUCUACCCUACGUUCUCGCCUCAGUUUCUGUUUGAACCCCCAUUUUGUUUGUUCUUUUUAGCUGCUGGUGGUUGACGUUUGGUGGUGUGAAGUGAAGAAAAAAAACAGCGGUUGCUGUGUGUGUGGGGUGUGGUGUGAGGAGGAAGUCGUCACCGGCGAGUUGAAGAAGAAGAAGGGGUCAGUGGCGUAACUUAUCGAGCCUUGUUGAUCUGUUUUGGAGAGAUGAAAAAGAACAAGUAUGGGUAUGGCGUUUGCAGUGGUGAAGGAAAUGAAGGGGUCUGGUUCGUUGGGUGAGGGUGUGGUUGUUGCAACUCAUUUUUCCGGCGAGCUGGGAUUGGAGUUGGGAAGGCUAUGGUCGUGGGUUGCUCUGCAUGGAGAUGGGACGACAUUGAGGGCUGGUGGGGCUGUCCGGCGUGAGGGGUCGCUGGUUUCAGGGGUGGUCGGCGGGUUUGAGUGUAGAAAUCCUAGGGUUUUGCUUGUUCUCUAGGGUUUUUGGUUGUCUUUCAGGUGUGAAGAAGAAGGCUUAGGUUUUGGUAAGUUUUCUCAAUCAAAAAAACAGCUGUGGCUAACCUCGAUCUAGGUUUUUUUUUUAAUUCUUCUUGUAUAUUAUGCUAGUCUAGGUUUGGGCUUUUGAGUUAAUGGGCUAAGAGAUU